UGAAGAGGACGACCUCUUUAUAUUCAAAUUUUCAAGCUUUAGGACGACCUAA
RNAcentral lists this non-coding RNA (52 nucleotides) under Acinetobacter proteolyticus. RNAcentral describes it as "mini-ykkC". It matches the Rfam family "Guanidine-II riboswitch aptamer (mini-ykkC)". From Rfam's summary of the family: Simpler in structure and has fewer highly conserved nucleotide positions than the ykkC-yxkD leader. Lineage: Bacteria; Pseudomonadati; Pseudomonadota; Gammaproteobacteria; Moraxellales; Moraxellaceae. RNAcentral also lists the same sequence under 1 other name. The record is from RNAcentral.